Molecule: ribosomal RNA, 225 nt
Filed under: uncultured Flavobacterium sp.
Lineage: Bacteria; Pseudomonadati; Bacteroidota; Flavobacteriia; Flavobacteriales; Flavobacteriaceae
Description: partial 16S ribosomal RNA
Rfam family: Bacterial small subunit ribosomal RNA
Source: RNAcentral
UGCGUAGGCGGGAUAUUAAGUCAGUGGUGAAAUCCCAUCGCUCAACGAUGGAACUGCCAUUGAUACUGUAGGACUUGAAUGCUUAGGAAGUAACUAGAAUAUGUAGUGUAGCGGUGAAAUGCUUAGAUAUUACAUGGAAUACCAAUUGCGAAGGCAGGUUACUACUAAGUGAUUGACGCUGAUGGACGAAAGCGUGGGGAGCGAACAGGAUUAGAUACCCUAGUA